RNAcentral lists this ribosomal RNA (434 nucleotides) under uncultured bacterium. RNAcentral's name for it is "partial 16S ribosomal RNA". It matches the Rfam family "Bacterial small subunit ribosomal RNA", at positions 29 to 507 of the family's 1533-position model. The record is from RNAcentral.
AGCGAACGCUGGCGGCAGGCCUAACACAUGCAAGUCGAACGAACCUUUCGGGGUUAGUGGCGGACGGGUGAGUAACACGUGGGAACGUGCCUUUAGGUUCGGAAUAACUCAGGGAAACUUGUGCUAAUACCGAAUGUGCUCUUCGGGGGAAAGAUUAAUCGCCUUUAGAGCGGCCCGCGUCUGUUUAGCUAGUUGGUUGAGGUAAUGGCUCACCAAGGCGACGAUCAGUAGCUGGUCUGAGAGGAUGAUCAGCCACAUUGGGACUGAGACACGGCCCAAACUCCUACGGGAGGCAGCAGUGGGGAAUCUUGCGCAAUGAGCGAAAGCCUGACGCAGCCAUGCCGCGUGAAUGAUGAAGGGCUUAGGAUUGUAAAAUUCUUUCACCGGGGACGAUAAUGACGGUACCCGGAGAAGAAGCCCCGGCUAACUUCGUG